UACGGGAGGCAGCAGUGGGGAAUUUUGGACAAUGGGGGCAACCCUGAUCCAGCCAUUCCGCGUGAGUGAAGAAGGCCUUCGGGUUGUAAAGCUCUUUUGUUCGGGACGAAACGGUUAAGGCUAAUAACCUUGACUAAUGACGGUACCGGAAGAAUAAGCACCGGCUAACUACGUG
Molecule: ribosomal RNA, 175 nt
Filed under: uncultured bacterium
Lineage: Bacteria
Description: partial 16S ribosomal RNA
Rfam family: Bacterial small subunit ribosomal RNA
Source: RNAcentral